Molecule: non-coding RNA, 107 nt
Filed under: Betaproteobacteria bacterium UKL13-2
Lineage: Bacteria; Pseudomonadati; Pseudomonadota; Betaproteobacteria
Also listed under: 1 other name
Description: TPP riboswitch aptamer (THI element)
Rfam family: TPP riboswitch aptamer (THI element)
About the family: Vitamin B(1) in its active form thiamin pyrophosphate (TPP) is an essential coenzyme that is synthesised by coupling of pyrimidine and thiazole moieties in bacteria.
Source: Rfam by way of RNAcentral
UUGAUAACGCAGGGGUUCCCGUCGCAUAUUCAAUUGUGGCGGGAUGAGACUAACCCUUUGAACCUGACGCGGUUAACACCGCCGUAGGGAGCGUGAAGCGGCGAUUU